This 899-nucleotide long non-coding RNA is filed under the name Panax ginseng (ginseng). Its description in RNAcentral is "long non-coding RNA (PGIN_LNC006953)". The record is from RNAcentral. Lineage: Eukaryota; Viridiplantae; Streptophyta; Magnoliopsida; Apiales; Araliaceae.
AAAACAAUUCAAAUUAAAGUCUUAAUGAUAAUCUCGUCUGUCGUCUCUCACUCAGAACAUCAUCCUAAUAUUCCUCCGUCGUCUUUGUCCAGAUCUGUGGGUGGUGCAAAAUCUGCUCUCAUCUUCUCUAUUAUUACAAAAUCUGCUCUUGGAAUGAAAUGAGAUCAGAUCUUGGAGAACCUGUCAUCUUCAUCAACUACUAUUAUUACACAAAAUCUGUUCUCAUCUUCUCUCACCAAAUUGAUCUCUCAGAUCUCAGCCCUCAACCCCCAGAUCUCAAAUUUUGCCCUUGGUCGUCUAUAUUGAGGAAUAUAUUUAGACCCUCAAAGCAACCGGAUCUUGACAUGAGAUCUUUCUCUUCGUAGUAGCACGAUUAGAACUUUCCCCAACAUUUCUACAUGUAGAUAACUUCAAAUCACCAAGCUGGUCUUCAUUAAUCAUACCUUUCCAAAGUCCGAACGGACCAAAGUUUGGACAAAACACCCCCAUUCCUACUCGUCAGCCACUUGGCCCACUUUGCUUGAAAUAGUAGGUUUAUGUUUUGCUUUAGAUCUAUCGAUCUGUCAUCCGAAAUUGGGGAUUCUGUUUGUUCCGUGUGUUUUUAUCAAUUAUAUUUAGCUCAUCUUUGUUUUGAGGUUUAUUGUAUAUGCACUGAUGCACAUGCAUUUCAUAUUUCAUAAUUUGCCGAUGCAUUUCUUUGCUUCUGAAUUCUGAUUUCUGAUUUCAAUUUUUUUUCUCUCCAUUUGAAGCAGUAUUUAUAAUGGGUUUUGUUUUGUUUGAGAAAUCAAAAAUAUGUACAAAUUUUGAUUUUUCGGUUAUAAUCGAAUAGACAAUUCGAUUUGGUUAUAAUCGAACGAUGAGUCCUACUCAUAUAAAGUCGAAAGUGAAGGAAAAUCUCC